AUUGAACGCUGGCGGCAGGCCUAACACAUGCAAGUCGAACGGUAACAGGAAGCAGCUUGCUGCUUCGCUGACGAGUGGCGGACGGGUGAGUAAUGUCUGGGAAACUGCCUGCUGUAGGGGGAUAACUACUGGAAACGGUAGCUAAUACCGCAUAACGUCGCAUGCCCAAAGAGGGGGACCUUAUGGCCUCUUGCCAUCGGAUGUGCCCAGAUGGGAUUAGCUAGUAGGUGGGGUUACGGCUCACCUAGGCGACGGUCCCUAGCUGGUGUGAGAGGAGGACCGGCGACAUGGGAACGGAGACACGGUCCAGACGCCUAAGGGAGGCAGCAGAGGGGAAUAUGGCACAAUGGGGGCAAGCAUGAUGCAGCCAGGCCGCGUGUAUGAAGAAGGCCUUCGGGUUGUAAAGUACGUUCAGCGGGGAGGAAGGGAGUAAAGUUAAGACCUAGGGUCAUUGACGGUACCCGCAGAAGAAGCACCGGCUAACUCCGUG
RNAcentral lists this ribosomal RNA (490 nucleotides) under uncultured bacterium. Its description in RNAcentral is "partial 16S ribosomal RNA". It matches the Rfam family "Bacterial small subunit ribosomal RNA", at positions 29 to 507 of the family's 1533-position model. The record is from RNAcentral.